UACGUAGGGGGCAAGCGUUGUCCGGAUUUAUUGGGCGUAAAGCGCGCGUAGGCGGAUCUGCAAGUCGGGGGUGAAAUCCCGAGGCUCAACCUCGGAACUGCCUUCGAUACUGCGGGUCUCGAGUCCGGGAGAGGUGAGUGGAAUUCCUAGUGUAGAGGUGAAAUUCGUAGAUAUUCGCAAGAACACCAGUGGCGAAGGCGGCUCACUGGCCCGAUACUGACGCUGAGGCACGAAAGCGUGGGGAGCAAACAGG
Molecule: ribosomal RNA, 253 nt
Filed under: uncultured bacterium
Lineage: Bacteria
Description: partial 16S ribosomal RNA
Rfam family: Bacterial small subunit ribosomal RNA
Source: RNAcentral